This 481-nucleotide ribosomal RNA is filed under the name uncultured bacterium. RNAcentral describes it as "partial 16S ribosomal RNA". It matches the Rfam family "Bacterial small subunit ribosomal RNA", at positions 30 to 507 of the family's 1533-position model. The record is from RNAcentral.
UUGAACGCUGGCGGCAUGCCUUACACAUGCAAGUCGAACGGUAACAGGCCGCAAGGUGCUGACGAGUGGCGAACGGGUGAGUAAUGCAUCGGAACGUGCCCAGUCGUGGGGGAUAACUACUCGAAAGAGUAGCUAAUACCGCAUACGAUCUAUGGAUGAAAGCGGGGGACCGUAAGGCCUCGCGCGAUUGGAGCGGCCGAUGUCAGAUUAGGUAGUUGGUGGGGUAAAGGCUCACCAAGCCAACGAUCUGUAGCUGGUCUGAGAGGACGACCAGCCACACUGGGACUGAGACACGGCCCAGACUCCUACGGGAGGCAGCAGUGGGGAAUUUUGGACAAUGGGCGCAAGCCUGAUCCAGCAAUGCCGCGUGCAGGAAGAAGGCCUUCGGGUUGUAAACUGCUUUUGUACGGAACGAAACGGCUCUGGUUAAUACCCGGGGCUAAUGACGGUACCGUAAGAAUAAGCACCGGCUAACUACGUG